RNAcentral lists this ribosomal RNA (293 nucleotides) under uncultured bacterium. RNAcentral's name for it is "partial 16S ribosomal RNA". It matches the Rfam family "Bacterial small subunit ribosomal RNA", at positions 775 to 1067 of the family's 1533-position model. The record is from RNAcentral.
GGAUUAGAUACCCUGGUAGUCCCAGCCGUAAACGAUGUGUACUUGAUGUAAAUGGAAUCAACCCCAUUUGUGUCGAAGCUAACGCGAUAAGUACACCGCCUGGGGAGUACACUCGCAAGGGUGAAACUCAAAAGAAUUGACGGGGGCCCGCACAAGCAGUGGAGCAUGUGGUUUAAUUCGAUGCAACGCGAAGAACCUUACCCAGACUUGACAUAUAGUAGACCGGUUCAGAGAUGAGCCUUUCCUUCGGGACUGCUAUACAGGUGCUGCAUGGCUGUCGUCAGCUCGUGCCG